ACGCUGGCGGCGUGCCUAAUACAUGCAAGUCGAACGAACUCUGGUAUUGAUUGGUGCUUGCAUCAUGAUUUACAUUUGAGUGAGUGGCGAACUGGUGAGUAACACGUGGGAAACCUGCCCAGAAGCGGGGGAUAACACCUGGAAACAGAUGCUAAUACCGCAUAACAACUUGGACCGCAUGGUCCGAGCUUGAAAGAUGGCUUCGGCUAUCACUUUUGGAUGGUCCCGCGGCGUAUUAGCUAGAUGGUGGGGUAACGGCUCACCAUGGCAAUGAUACGUAGCCGACCUGAGAGGGUAAUCGGCCACAUUGGGACUGAGACACGGCCCAAACUCCUACGGGAGGCAGCAGUAGGGAAUCUUCCACAAUGGACGAAAGUCUGAUGGAGCAACGCCGCGUGAGUGAAGAAGGGUUUCGGCUCGUAAAACUCUGUUGUUAAAGAAGAACAUAUCUGAGAGUAACUGUUCAGGUAUUGACGGUAUUUAACCAGAAAGCCACGGCUAACUACGUGCCAGCAGCCGCGGUAAUACGUAGGUGGCAAGCGUUGUCCGGAUUUAUUGGGCGUAAAGCGAGCGCAGGCGGUUUUUUAAGUCUGAUGUGAAAGCCUUCGGCUCAACCGAAGAAGUGCAUCGGAAACUGGGAAACUUGAGUGCAGAAGAGGACAGUGGAACUCCAUGUGUAGCGGUGAAAUGCGUAGAUAUAUGGAAGAACACCAGUGGCGAAGGCGGCUGUCUGGUCUGUAACUGACGCUGAGGCUCGAAAGUAUGGGUAGCAAACAGGAUUAGAUACCCUGGUAGUCCAUACCGUAAACGAUGAAUGCUAAGUGUUGGAGGGUUUCCGCCCUUCAGUGCUGCAGCUAACGCAUUAAGCAUUCCGCCUGGGGAGUACGGCCGCAAGGCUGAAACUCAAAGGAAUUGACGGGGGCCCGCACAAGCGGUGGAGCAUGUGGUUUAAUUCGAAGCUACGCGAAGAACCUUACCAGGUCUUGACAUACUAUGCAAAUCUAAGAGAUUAGACGUUCCCUUCGGGGACAUGGAUACAGGUGGUGCAUGGUUGUCGUCAGCUCGUGUCGUGAGAUGUUGGGUUAAGUCCCGCAACGAGCGCAACCCUUAUUAUCAGUUGCCAGCAUUAAGUUGGGCACUCUGGUGAGACUGCCGGUGACAAACCGGAGGAAGGUGGGGAUGACGUCAAAUCAUCAUGCCCCUUAUGACCUGGGCUACACACGUGCUACAAUGGAUGGUACAACGAGUUGCGAACUCGCGAGAGUAAGCUAAUCUCUUAAAGCCAUUCUCAGUUCGGAUUGUAGGCUGCAACUCGCCUACAUGAAGUCGGAAUCGCUAGUAAUCGCGGAUCAGCAUGCCGCGGUGAAUACGUUCCCGGGCCUUGUACACACCGCCCGUCACACCAUGAGAGUUUGUAACACCCAAAGUCGGUGGGGUAACCUUUUAGGAACCAGCCGCCUAAGGUGGGACAGAUGAUUAGGGG
This 1483-nucleotide ribosomal RNA is filed under the name Lactiplantibacillus plantarum. RNAcentral describes it as "bacterial SSU rRNA". It matches the Rfam family "Bacterial small subunit ribosomal RNA". Lineage: Bacteria; Bacillati; Bacillota; Bacilli; Lactobacillales; Lactobacillaceae. The record is from RNAcentral. RNAcentral also lists the same sequence under 1 other name.